CAAGGUCAGAAGAAUGUUAUGAAUAUGGGUGACUCCUCUAAAGAUGCUUCUUUGUCAGUUGAACAUGUGGCUACUGAAGGGAGCCCACUCAAGAAUGAGAGGAGAAGUGGGAGCUUUGUAAGAUCUCAUGAUGAAGCAAAACAAGGUGGGUCUGGUAAUGAGUCUGAGGAAACUGAGUUCAGUGGUGGUGGUCGUCAAGAAGAGCAAUCUAUGUUGGAAGGAAAUGGCGGGGAACUGUCUGCUAAAAGCCCUGGCUUAAAGAAAAGGAAAAGGAAUGGGCAGGAUGCUGACCUUGAUCAGGCCAAGGGAACCCAACAAUCUGUUGAAGCUGCAAAGGAUAACCCUGAAGUUCAACAGAAAGGAGAUGAAAACCCAACUUCAACUCCUAUUAAGGCUACUGGAAAACAAUGUAAACUAGGAUCUCAAGCUUCAGAUCCACCAAAAGAAGAAUAUAUUCAUGUCAGAGCUCGAAGAGGUCAAGCAACAAAUAGUCAUAGUCUUGCAGA
This 506-nucleotide unclassified non-coding RNA is filed under the name Hevea brasiliensis (rubber tree). The record is from RNAcentral. Lineage: Eukaryota; Viridiplantae; Streptophyta; Magnoliopsida; Malpighiales; Euphorbiaceae.